This 383-nucleotide long non-coding RNA is filed under the name Panax ginseng (ginseng). RNAcentral's name for it is "long non-coding RNA (PGIN_LNC012660)". The record is from RNAcentral. Lineage: Eukaryota; Viridiplantae; Streptophyta; Magnoliopsida; Apiales; Araliaceae.
CUUAUUACUCCUCACAGCCCAGCUUAUCUCCUUUACUCUAUUCCACACAAGAAUAGUCUCAUAUCAGCCACAUAUAUGAAUAAUUAAUACAUAUAAGGUUACAUAGCUUACUUACCAAUCAUAACUUAUGUUUUUCAAAAUAACUUGUACUAGACUUUCAUAUGAUUACCCCAUAUAGCAAUUUCAUUAUUUAUAUCCAACUAGAAUUCAAGAUUUACUUUGCUCCCUGAUGAGGACAUGGCAUGCGUGGACUCAAAUAAAACUAAAGGGACGUGGGGAUCAAGCAAGCUAGAACUAAGAGGUUCAAAUAAGGUUUCAAUGGAUUGAUCCAAGAUGUUUGGGAUGAAGCUGACGCAAGAAAACUAAGAGAAUGUUAAAGAGCA